RNAcentral lists this ribosomal RNA (395 nucleotides) under uncultured bacterium. RNAcentral's name for it is "bacterial SSU rRNA". It matches the Rfam family "Bacterial small subunit ribosomal RNA", at positions 362 to 774 of the family's 1533-position model. The record is from RNAcentral.
UAUUGCACGAUGGGGGGAACCCUGAUGCAGCGACGCCGCGUGAGCGAUGAAGUAUUUCGGUAUGUAAAGCUCUAUCAGCAGGGAAGAAAAUGACGGUACCUGACUAAGAAGCCCCGGCUAACUACGUGCCAGCAGCCGCGGUAAUACGUAGGGGGCAAGCGUUAUCCGGAUUUACUGGGUGUAAAGGGAGCGUAGACGGCAGUGCAAGUCUGAAGUGAAAGGCAAGGGCUCAACCCUUGGACUGCUUUGGAAACUGUGCUGCUGGAGUGCAGGAGAGGUAAGUGGAAUUCCUAGUGUAGCGGUGAAAUGCGUAGAUAUUAGGAGGAACACCAGUGGCGAAGGCGGCUUACUGGACUGUAACUGACACUGAGGCACGAAAGCGUGGGGAGCAAACA